This is a non-coding RNA of Gossypium arboreum, 106 nucleotides long. The record is from Rfam. Lineage: Eukaryota; Viridiplantae; Streptophyta; Magnoliopsida; Malvales; Malvaceae.
AACCCAUGGUGAGGACACCUUCUCAAAAGAUCCUUAUACCUCUCCUAUGCAUCAUAUAAAGUUUCUAAAUCAAUUUGCAUGAAGGACGAGAUAUGUUCCUCAACAU